GACCUGGUGGUCAUGGCGGGGCGGCCGCACCCGUUCCCAUUCCGAACACGGCCGUGAAACGCCCCUGCGCCAAUGGUACUUCGUCUUAAGACGCGGGAGAGUAGGUCGCUGCCAGGUCU
RNAcentral lists this ribosomal RNA (119 nucleotides) under Gillisella vitis. Lineage: Bacteria; Pseudomonadati; Pseudomonadota; Alphaproteobacteria; Hyphomicrobiales; Rhizobiaceae. RNAcentral also lists the same sequence under 1 other name. The record is from RNAcentral.